This 422-nucleotide ribosomal RNA is filed under the name uncultured bacterium. Its description in RNAcentral is "bacterial LSU rRNA". It matches the Rfam family "Bacterial large subunit ribosomal RNA", at positions 805 to 1234 of the family's 2925-position model. The record is from RNAcentral.
UGAGCUGUGGAUAGGGGUGAAAGGCUAAACAAUCCGGAAAUAGCUGGUUCUCCCGAAACUAUUUAGGUAGUGCGUCACAUAUCACUUCCGGGGUAAAGCACUGUUAUGGCUAGGGGGUCAUCGCGACUUACCAAACCAUGGCAAACUCUGAAUACCGGAAAGUGCGAGUGUGGCAGACAGACAGUGGGUGCUAACGUCCAUUGUCAAGAGGGAAACAACCCAGACCGCCAGCUAAGGUCCCCAAGACACAGUUAAGUGGGAAACGAAGUGGGAAGACAUAGACAGCUAGGAGGUUGGCUUAGAAGCAGCCAUCCUUUAAAGAAAGCGUAAUAGCUCACUAGUCGAGUCGUCCUGCGCGGAAGAUGUAACGGGGGCUCAAACUGUGCACCCGAAGCUGCGGAUAUCGAAAGAUAUGGUAGGGG